Drosophila pseudoobscura is the source of this 1513-nucleotide long non-coding RNA. RefSeq lists it as uncharacterized. NCBI's taxonomy places the organism in Eukaryota, Metazoa, Arthropoda, Insecta, Diptera, Drosophilidae. The record is from RefSeq and is a predicted model, not a curated record. The transcript has 2 exons.
GGAGAGGAAGAUACAGCGGUGAUGGGUAUAGGUAGGACACACAUACUUUUGAAGGAUUCGGGAGAAACCCUCUUCCUCUGCUCUCCCACACCAUAUCCCACCUCAUAUAGCUCUAGCCACAUCCCCAUAUAUUUUUAUUUACAUAUUUCCAUAGCCAUAAUAUCACGUUUAAUGCUUCCUUAUCGAUUUCAAAUCAAAUUACUUAACAAAAGAAAAAACGGCACUUUUAAAGUUUCCAUAGUGGAGGGAACGAGGACAGGACCUUGCCACCAGUGACUGGCUGACUGGUGCCUGGCACCGUAUCGGAUUCGGGGCGAGGGCGGAGCACACGCCCUGGCUGCACCCCGCACCUGUAACCUUUGCGUGCGACUGUGGCAAUCGAUGCUGGGGUUGGAACGCUUAAGGCUUCAUGUGAAAAUAUGAAAUACUUUCCCAGGACAUGCAACACAUGCACAUACAUAUGUGUUAUGGUAAAAAAAAAAUAACAGGAAUCUUGCAGAACAUGUGAUAUCCUGCUUUCUGGCAGUCACGUUGCCAAUGCUGUUAUUCUUUGGCUUGACCUACCCGUUGCCUCCCCCUCCCUCCUCCCCCCUCCCGCUAUUUCCCCUCAUUAACCAUGAAGGCUGUGAAUAAUAAAUCAACAGGCCGUACAUAAUUAAUGCUUAAAAAACAGUGACGAGGGGGGAGGGCGAGAGCGGUGUGUGUGGUGCAAGAAGAAAGGAUUGCUGUCGCUCGACGGUGACAGCCUCAUUAGUUGCCACAGAAAUACGACAAACGCACGCACACAUGUGCACUAAUUGCGGCCUGUCGAAAAUAUUUGUAUGAAAUGUAGCAUACAUUGCAGCGGCGACGCACUGUUUCCCUGGGAUUCCCCCGCAAUUCGGUUUGCCUUACCCUUGGCGCGUGCGCAGUGACGCACUGAAUGACCAGAAGCGCCAAAAACUAUCCAUCAUCAUCAUCUCAUGUCUGUAUGUGUGUGUGUGUGUGUGUGUGUACGGGAUCCGCGUCUCUAAUGAGUCACGUUUCCGCCUGCCACUGCCGCCGUCUGCUGCUGCCAACUGUUGAAAGGCUCAGGCGUGACAUACAAACAACAAAAAGUGGCGCAGCUUUUCAGCUGCUGGCCAGUUGCCCCUCCUGCGUCCUGCGUCCUGUGUCCUGCCGCCUGUCUUCUUCUGAAUUGACAAAUUUUCCUCCACACAAAUCUAAAAUUAUGCCAGCGCACAGAUUGAGAUGGGAAAACUAAAAUUGUAACAACUUUGGCGACAUUCACGGCCGCCAAAAGUAACAGCAACAACAAACGACGACGGAGACGUGCUCUUGAGCAGGGCGCGCGCGACACUCGAGGUGUAGGCAACAACUAUAGGGACCGUUACGCCGUGUGACUGUUAAGCCGCCAUAGUCGCAGUCGCACGGAUUUCAAGAUUGUCGACUAGCCUUUCCCGCUCUUCGUCACCUCUACUUUCCAAAAGCCGUCGUCAAAAAAGCGGCCCACACACACACACACACACACACA